Molecule: RNA transcript, 1653 nt
Organism: Melospiza melodia melodia
Lineage: Eukaryota; Metazoa; Chordata; Aves; Passeriformes; Passerellidae
Gene: DUSP12
Gene name: dual specificity phosphatase 12
Exons: 4
Source: RefSeq, a predicted model, not a curated record
GGGGUGAGCCGCAGCGUGGCCGUGGUCGCCGCCUACCUGAUGAAGACGCAGGGGCUGGGCUGGCAGGAGGCGCUCGCCGCCGUGAGGGCCGCCAAGCCGGACGCGCAGGUGAACCCGGGCUUCCAGGCGCAGCUGAAGCUCUACGAGGCCAUGGGGUGCGCCGUGGACACCAGCAGCGCGCUCUACAAGCGGUACCGGCUGGAGAUGCUCAGCCAGAGGCUCUCCGGAAUGCAGCGUGGCUGAGCUGACCUGAUUCUCAACAUGGUCCUGACCCCUCUGCAGAACCUCAAGACUUGCCCCGAGAAGUCUUUGCAGUUGAUCCUACCACUACAUGUCAAACAUUGAACACAGAGGUUCUCUACAGAUGCAGGAAAUGCAGGUACUUUAUAUAUUGAAAAAACAUGUAUUUUUAUAUAUUUAUAAAAUACUUUCUAUUUCUCCUUAAAACGUCAUUGUGAAAUCUACUCAAGGGUAGAAUAACCAGUGUGAAUCAAUGGGCAUGUCAUUGUUGUCAGGUCAUGGAUGAGCUGAUGCCUAAGUUUCCAUGCUGUGUUUGCAAAAAAAAAAAAUCGAAAGUACAAAAUUUUUGUUCCCUGGAGUGGUGCUUGUGAACCUUCCAGACUAAUAAGAAAAUGUCGGAUUUGUGCUCCUGUUUAAAUAUUCAGAGUCAGGAGGCCCACAUCCUUAUUUUCUGUUGUCUGUAGAUUUGCCCAGUUAAAAAACCCGUUUGUUUUACUUCUUUUUUCCCAUGUCCCGGAGGGCAGACGUGCCCUGCUCCGUAGCUCCAGCAUUUUGUCCCAUACGGAAGGAGUGGGACCGACAGCCUUUGCCCACAAGAGGCUAACAGAGUCUGCACGGCUUUCUGGGAACGGCCAGGAGAAGUGCACCUCCUACUUCAUCGAGCCAGUGCAGUGGAUGGAGCCGGCAUUGCUCGGAGUAAUGGAAGGACAGCUUCUGUGUCCCAAAUGCUCAUCAAAGCUGGGCUCCUUCAGCUGGAGGGGGGACCAGUGUUCCUGCGGCCGCUGGGUGACACCGGCCUUCCAGAUCCACAAAAGUCGAGUGGAUGAAGUGAGGACAUUGCCUGUUGGUAACUUCCAGACUGCCAAAACCUGAACUCAUUGCUUCACUUCGUGGAUUUCGUAACAUCUGCUGAGAACUAUUAGUCCAUGGUUGCCAGGAAAUGAGUUUAUGAUUUCCAACCCUUUGUGAGGUGGCUGAAUUACUUGAACACCUUCAGCUUGAUGUGUCUCUUAAUAUAUUCUAUGAAAUACCAGAACACUUUCUUCAAAGAGGUGUUACAGAGUGGUCAAAUCUAAAAAUGGGCCAAAUGUGAUGUUUUUAGUGUAUUCUUCAUUUAUGUGUUGCUGUUCACAGAAGGUCUCAACUCCUUAUUCAAAAGGAGUUGCUGUGGGCAGUAGUGCUGCUCAGCUUCUGAUCCAAAGUGCCAAGUGCCCUCAAAUAGUACAAUUACAGGUGUUUGCAUGCGUGGCAGCAAAAGGCAAACUUAGUUACACUUUUAUUCUGUUAAAGUACUGCUAAAAAUACCUGCCCCAAGAGUAUUUACUACUUGUAACUCUUUCAUGUAACGCGUGAGGAGAUCGUGCAAGCUGUAAUGGAAUGGGAGAACUGAAGUAAAGAGUCCAUGCCAAAUAA